RNAcentral lists this ribosomal RNA (425 nucleotides) under uncultured bacterium. RNAcentral's name for it is "partial 16S ribosomal RNA". It matches the Rfam family "Bacterial small subunit ribosomal RNA", at positions 354 to 796 of the family's 1533-position model. The record is from RNAcentral.
GUUAGGAAUAUUGGACAAUGGGCGCAUGCCUGAUCCAGCCAUGCCGCGUGAGUGAUGAAGGCCUUCGGGUUGUAAAGCUCUUUAGUCCACGAAUAUAAUGACUGUAGUGGACGAAUAAGCCCCGGCUAACUUCGUGCCAGCAGCCGCGGUAAUACGAAGGGGGCGAGCGUUAUUCGGAAUCACUGGGCGUAAAGCGUGCGUAGGCUGUUUUGUAAGUCAGAAGUGAAAGCCCAGGUCUUAACCCUGGAAUUGCUUUUGAAACUACAAGACUCGAGUUCUGGAGAGGAUAGCGGAAUUGUCAGUGUAGCAGUGAAAUGCGUAGAUAUUGACAGGAACACCAGUGGCGCAAGCGGCUAUCUGGACCGAUAUUGACGCUGAGGCACGAAAGCGUGGGGAGCAAACAGGAUUAGAUACCCCAGUAGUCC